RNAcentral lists this ribosomal RNA (254 nucleotides) under uncultured bacterium. RNAcentral describes it as "partial 16S ribosomal RNA". It matches the Rfam family "Bacterial small subunit ribosomal RNA", at positions 524 to 776 of the family's 1533-position model. The record is from RNAcentral.
UACAGAGGGGGCGAGCGUUGUUCGGAAUUACUGGGCGUAAAGGGCGCGUAGGCGGCCAACUAAGUCAGACGUGAAAUCCCUCGGCUCAACCGGGGAACUGCGUCUGAUACUGGAUGGCUUGAAUUCGGGAGAGGGAUGCGGAAUUCCAGGUGUAGCGGUGAAAUGCGUAGAUAUCUGGAGGAAUACCGGUGGCGAAGGCGGCAUCCUGGACCGGCAUUGACGCUGAGUGAGCGAAAGCUAGGGGAGCAAACGGG